This 253-nucleotide ribosomal RNA is filed under the name uncultured bacterium. RNAcentral's name for it is "partial 16S ribosomal RNA". It matches the Rfam family "Bacterial small subunit ribosomal RNA", at positions 524 to 776 of the family's 1533-position model. The record is from RNAcentral.
GACGUAGGGCGCAAGCGUUGUCCGGAAUUAUUGGGCGUAAAGGGCUCGUAGGCGGCCAACUAAGUCGGAUGUGAAAUCCCCAGGCUCAACUUGGGAACUGCAUCCGAUACUGGAUGGCUUGAAUUCGGGAGAGGGAUGCAGAAUUCCAGGUGUAGCGGUGAAAUGCGUAGAUAUCUGGAGGAAUACCGGUGGCGAAGGCGGCAUCCUGGACCGACAUUGACGCUGAGGAGCGAAAGCUAGGGGAGCAAACGGG